Molecule: long non-coding RNA, 1048 nt
Organism: Thunnus maccoyii (southern bluefin tuna)
Lineage: Eukaryota; Metazoa; Chordata; Actinopteri; Scombriformes; Scombridae
Exons: 3
Source: RefSeq, a predicted model, not a curated record
AUGAUGAUAACUGAAAGUCUUCUGUUUUAAUCUUCAUAGUGAUAAUUGUGUGUAAUUUGUUAUUUCUUUGUAGUUCAUUUGCACCUUUAGUUUCAUUAGGCCCUAAAAAUAAUACUGUAGUUGUCUGAUUUGGGAUCAGACUUGAUCUUGCUGGUGUCACUUUAUUACACUCAAUUUUAUGUUUAUUCUUGUUCAUCAAUUUAUAGUUUACUCAAAACAUUUUGAUCAAAAUAUUUUAUUUUAUUUAUGGUUUGGAUGUUUGUUUUGAUCUUGAUGUUAAUGCAGCUAAAUUCCUUAAAUGAAGUUUUUUAUGAGUAAAAAGUAGAAUUUGUUGUCAUAUAUAUGCAGAUGGAAUAUGAUGCAGAUUUGGUUUGAGUAGAAACGGCUUUGGUUCAAAUAAAUGAACGUUGAUCAGUGAGAGGUGAUCACACAACACAGAGAACUCCUACAUUCAUGUGUAAUACAGAGGAGUCAGAGAGCAGAGGAGGAAACAGAUUAACAUCCUCAGCUGCCUUCAGAUCAGACAGAAAACAGCUGAUCAACAUGUUAAUAAGACAUUCAUACAACACUGCACGCACAAUAGUUUCCAUCAGAAACAAGUAGUGAACACAACACUGACAUAUCAUCAGCUUUUAACUUGAUAUAUUGAACUUGUUAGCAAACAGUUGCUUAUUUGUUUAGGCUGCAAGCAACAAGUAUAUUAAUUAGUAAUGUAGUUGUUGCUUGUAAGGUGGAUGUGACUGAGCUGCUCAGGAGAACUGCAGGGUGUGAUGCCGUCGUCCUGGAUAAGUUUACAGUUCAGUCCAAUGGAAACCAGCGACCAGAGGAGGUCCGUCAGGACCUUCAGGACCUUCUCUGCAGGCCCGACCAUUUAUGAGAGUUACUAUCAUAACCAUAAACCCAGUAUCUGGAGCUAGAACUGGAUGUGUCGGCCUCUGCCUGUGCUUCUCCAUACGGCUCCACUCAUAGAAAACAUACAUGGCAUAAAUAUAGUGUGACAACAAAAUUAACCAAUCAAAAUUGACCAGGUGAUGUCAUCAUAUCAACC